Molecule: ribosomal RNA, 634 nt
Filed under: Wickerhamomyces sp. YS-2018
Lineage: Eukaryota; Fungi; Ascomycota; Saccharomycetes; Phaffomycetales; Wickerhamomycetaceae
Description: LSU rRNA
Rfam family: Eukaryotic large subunit ribosomal RNA
Source: RNAcentral
UUGCAUAUCAAAAAGCGGAGGAAAAGAAACCAACAGGGAUUGCCUCAGUAACGGCGAGUGAAGCGGCAAAAGCUCAAAUUUGAAAUCUAGCGCCUUCGGUGCUCGAGUUGUAAUUUGAAGAUGGCGACUUUGGGGAUGGCCUUUAUCUAUGUUCCUUGGAACAGGACGUCACAGAGGGUGAGAAUCCCGUCUGAUGAGGUGCUCCAUCCCUUUGUAAAGCGCUUUCGAAGAGUCGAGUUGUUUGGGAAUGCAGCUCUAAGUGGGUGGUAAAUUCCAUCUAAAGCUAAAUAUUGGCGAGAGACCGAUAGCGAACAAGUACAGUGAUGGAAAGAUGAAAAGAACUUUGAAAAGAGAGUGAAAAAGUACGUGAAAUUGUUGAAAGGGAAGGGUAUUAGAUCAGACUUGGUGUUUGCUGUGAUUAUCGUCUCUCUUGUAGGGCGUGCACUCGCGCAGCACUGGGCCAGCAUCGAUUGGGGUGGCGGGAUAAAAGCGUACGAAUGUGGCACUGCCCUUGUUGGUGGUGUGUUUAUAGCGUGCGUGAUAUACCGCCCAGCUCGAUCGAGGACUGCGUCUUUAUUGACUAGGAUGCUGGCGUAAUGAUCUAAUAUCGCCCGUCUUGAAACACGGACCCAAA